RNAcentral lists this ribosomal RNA (253 nucleotides) under uncultured bacterium. RNAcentral describes it as "partial 16S ribosomal RNA". It matches the Rfam family "Bacterial small subunit ribosomal RNA", at positions 524 to 776 of the family's 1533-position model. The record is from RNAcentral.
UACAGAGGUGGCAAGCGUUGUUCGGAAUUACUGGGCGUAAAGGGCGCGUAGGCGGCCUUCUAAGUCAGACGUGAAAUCCCCAGGCUUAACUUGGGAACUGCGUCUGAUACUGGGAGGCUUGAGUGCGGGAGAGGGAUGUGGAAUUCCAGGUGUAGCGGUGAAAUGCGUAGAUAUCUGGAGGAACACCGGUGGCGAAGGCGGCAUCCUGGACCGACACUGACGCUGAGGCGCGAAAGCUAGGGGAGCAAACGGC